This 319-nucleotide ribosomal RNA is filed under the name uncultured eukaryote. RNAcentral's name for it is "partial 18S ribosomal RNA". It matches the Rfam family "Eukaryotic small subunit ribosomal RNA", at positions 1470 to 1796 of the family's 1831-position model. The record is from RNAcentral.
CCCUUAGAUGUUCUGGGCCGCACGCGCGCUACAAUGGUCUUCGCAAACGGAUGCAUUCUCGAAGGAGAAUGCCAAUCUUGGAAUCUAUGCCUUGGUCGGGACAGUUGCUUGCAAUUUUUCGACUCGAACCAGGAAUUCCUUGUAAUCGUGAUUCAUCACAUCACGAUGAAUACGUCCCUGCCCUUUGUACACACCGCCCGUCGCUCCUACCGAUCGAAGAGUUAGGUGAAUUGUUUUGAUCGAUAAGAUUUGACUAUGGUCAACUCUCGUCGUGAAAUUCUGUGAAUCUGACUGUUUAGAGGAAGGAAAAGUCGUAACA